Molecule: long non-coding RNA, 1950 nt
Filed under: Coturnix japonica (Japanese quail)
Lineage: Eukaryota; Metazoa; Chordata; Aves; Galliformes; Phasianidae
Description: lncRNA (ENSCJPG00005003241.1)
Source: RNAcentral
UGCAUGAUAUGUCCAUAUAACCUGCUAACGAAUUCUAACUGGCAUUUUUAAUUAAGAAUAUGGUUGUACUGAUGACCAUCAGAAGUAUGGCUAUUUUUUAAAAAGGGGCAAAAAAAAAAUGGAGAAAUAUAUUCUAAAUCAAAGCAUAUUUUGUUUUAUGGACAAAUUUUAAUUCAUUUAAGAGACAAACUGACCUUCUCUACCCUUUGUUAUAUGUCUCCAGGCACAAAAGUUAAAUCAGACUUACAAAUCAACUCCUUUUGCCAGCUCAGUCAUCCCCUCACUUUAGCAUUUCUGUCUCCCACAGCCGCUGUCUCGGUCUCCCCAGCUGUGGUCUGUCCCAGCACUUUGCAACUGAUUAACUCUGAAAUUAAUACAAAUCUUCACCAAGUUUUCCAAUACCUUCCUAAUUGCAUAUGGAUAUGAUUCUGCUUAACCAACAGAUUAGGUUUCUACAUGCUUCCUUUGUGAAUUAAAGUACUUUUUCAAUAUCAAGAUUGCCCUUAUUUUGUGGUGUUCUUAUUUUUAACAGUCUUUUUAAGGCUACACAUUACAGUCUUUCUAACCGACUUCCAGAAAAGAAGGGUCCACCUGUAGGCAAGAGCAGCUGUGUUGAGUUUGCUAAUGUUGCCACAGGUCCACCAAGGCAAAUCUAUUUAGCCAUGGAUGAGAUGGUGGUGGGCAGACAGCUGGAACCACAAAAUUAGGCUUUAAUGAAGCCGGAGUGUUCUGCAGCAUCUGUAGCACUGGUGGGUUCUUGCUGGUUGUGUUGCAGCUGCUUCUGUGUAGUUUGCAGUGCAGAGGCCAUCCAUCCACUUGUGCACCUACAUCAGAUCAAGGAGCUUCAAACUCAUCAUCACAACGCUCAGCAUUUUCUGUUAUUUUUUUCCCAAUUGUUGUGCAACCACCCCUUAAUUAAUCCUUGUAACAAUGAGAAAGAGAAACGUUAGAUUUAUUUGACAUUGUACACAGAAUAAGAUUGGAAGCUGGGAUAGGAUUUCUGGGGAAGUAUCUCUCAGUCUUCUGCUAAAUUAAGCUCCUUUUAAUGUUCCUCAUAUAAUUCAGCUGUUAAUUUUGCUCCUAAUUCUUUUUCUUUUCUUCUUUCCUUCUUUUCCCCAGUAAUUACUAUCAGCUGGUUCAGUGCCUGCAGUGUUGUCGACACGUUCCAGACAUACAAGCACGACAAAUAAUUUUUACAAGGCUUCCCAUAAAAAUAUAUUGCAUAUCUGAGAUCACUUUGAUUUAGUGAGGCUGGGAGAUUUUAAACACUGGCAUGCAUUAUGUAUCCAGUGAAGCUGUGUAGAUUAGUAAUAACGAAGUUCAUUUUUUUUGACUCGUGCUUUAUGUAACUUGCUUCAUCCAGUUGCUCUCAGCACAGGACAUACAGAGUUCAUAACACAGGGGUGCCCUGAUCAUGGAAGUGCUUAAGAUUGUCUGGUUUUCCCAGUUUCAGAGUUUGAUCCUUGUCUCACUUCAUCAAAGCCUCCUACCUGUAUCAUAGCAAAGACUGAAGAAAGCACUACCAACUUUUGUUAAUGAGAGGGAAAUGUGGCUUGAGUCUUUUUAUGUCUCUGUUAUUUUCAGGUCCUUACUUAAGGCCAAUCCAAAUUUAAAACCAAACUAAUUUUCCUCAUACUUACCAGAAAUACGUAUUUGCAAAUGCUUCCUAUAAAUAUAUGUUCACUGUGUACAUGUGUUCUAUCUAUAUAUUUAUAUUUAAAUAAUUCCAGAUGUGUAUGUGUUUGAAUAGAUUAAUAUAGAAAAUUCCUUUCAAAAACAUCAGAACUUGCUGCUUCUCUCAAAUCAGGCUGCCGUCAGGCUGUCUGCAGAUGUCUGUUCUCUUCUGCCCUCAUGUGGUUAUGAUCAAAAUGCAUGUGUACAGUGCAAUAAGGAUACCUGCAUCUCUGCAGUCCCCUGGGCAAAUACCUUUUCAGUUCAGAACUCUCUGGC